AUGGCAGCAUUUCCAAGAAGGGAAGGACACCGUGGGUGUCGCCGCUGCCAGCAUCGGCAAGCCGAGCAGGGAUUUUUCUCUAGUCUCUGUCUGAGCAAUCCUAAAGAUGUCGAAUCAGGAUUCAGAGACGAGGAAGUCAGAUCGCUGGUUGGAACCGCCAUCGCAGGAAGAGGAGUUGUGUCGGCGCCGAAGAAGAAGGUGGCAGCGGAUGCCACUGGACAUGUGAGCUCUCAAUCUGGCGGGAGAAGGACGAGGCAUGUGAAGGAUGGGGUUGGAGAGACGGUAGAGCCGAGAGAGCCGAUGUAG
RNAcentral lists this ribosomal RNA (306 nucleotides) under Triticum aestivum (bread wheat). RNAcentral describes it as "partial small subunit ribosomal RNA". Lineage: Eukaryota; Viridiplantae; Streptophyta; Magnoliopsida; Poales; Poaceae. The record is from RNAcentral.